Molecule: transfer RNA, 80 nt
Filed under: Sphaerodactylus townsendi
Lineage: Eukaryota; Metazoa; Chordata; Lepidosauria; Squamata; Sphaerodactylidae
Description: tRNA-Ala
Rfam family: tRNA
About the family: Transfer RNA (tRNA) molecules are approximately 80 nucleotides in length. Their secondary structure includes four short double-helical elements and three loops (D, anti-codon, and T loops). Further hydrogen bonds mediate the characteristic L-shaped molecular structure. tRNAs have two regions of fundamental functional importance: the anti-codon, which is responsible for specific mRNA codon recognition, and the 3' end, to which the tRNAs corresponding amino acid is attached (by aminoacyl-tRNA synthetases). tRNAs cope with the degeneracy of the genetic code in two manners: having more than one tRNA (with a specific anti-codon) for a particular amino acid; and 'wobble' base-pairing, i.e. permitting non-standard base-pairing at the 3rd anti-codon position.
Source: RNAcentral
GGAGGUUCCGUGGCUCAGUGGCAGAGUAUCUGCUUAGCUUAGAGUGCAGAAGGAUCCUGGUUCGAUUCCUGGCAUCUCCA